Molecule: ribosomal RNA, 278 nt
Filed under: uncultured eukaryote
Lineage: Eukaryota
Description: partial 18S ribosomal RNA
Rfam family: Eukaryotic small subunit ribosomal RNA
Source: RNAcentral
UAGUCAUAUGCUUGUCUCAAAGAUUAAGCCAUGCAUGUCUAAGUAUAAACGAUUCUAUACAGUGAAACUGCGAAUGGCUCAUUAAAUCAGUUAUAGUUUAUUUGAUAGUACCAUACUACUUGGAUAACCGUGGUAAUUCUAGAGCUAAUACAUGCAAAAAAACCCGACUUCUGGAAGGGUUGUAUUUAUUAGAUAAAAAACCAACCCGGGCAACCGGUUUACUGGUGAUUCAUAAUAACUUCUCGAAUCGCAUGGCCUUGAGCCGGCGAUGUUUCAUU